Molecule: long non-coding RNA, 8629 nt
Filed under: Sorghum bicolor (sorghum)
Lineage: Eukaryota; Viridiplantae; Streptophyta; Magnoliopsida; Poales; Poaceae
Description: long non-coding RNA (SBIC_LNC008975)
Source: RNAcentral
ACAAGAACCGGGUAACAACUUAUGUGGAUACUAUGUUUGCGAGUAUAUUAUGGCACAAACAAAUAGAAUUCCUGAAGAAUACCUUGUUGAUAUUUGGUAAUGCAAUAAGGAAAUGAUCCGCAAGCGCACGGAUAUCGGUGAGCAUUUCACCCGGGAAGUUAUCCAGAGUUAUCGUAUUUAUAUUUUUACCACUGGGAGAAAGGGUGCAUCUGACUAACCAAAUCUAUUGCUACUACCCCGUUAGGCUACAAAGAAUGUUUCUCGAUGUGAGCGAUGUAUAGAGAAGACUGCAACCGUAGUCUCAUUCUAACCUUGGUAAGGAUGAUCUAUUGUUCUAUUGGGGAGGCUCACGGAAUCUAGACAACACAAAGGAUGUUCGACCCGCACCUAUAAACCUACCCGUCCUGCUAACAAGAUAUGGGAUACAAAGGUAACUCGGAAAUGUCACGUUCCUCGCUACUACCACGGUCCAGCUAGUCAAGGGAUAUCUAUGAGUACCCUAGCCUAAACACCACGUUUACGCUAGCAAUGAUUACUCUAAUACUCAACUGGAAGAGGAUUAAAGUAAACUCAUAAACCAAAGAACAAUAAAACAAGAACUUACUAGAAUUAGAAGUCGAAUUACUGAAGAAUCUUAGAAGCAAGCCUCGGGUUAGGAGACUUGAUCCCGCAGGUACAACUCGGAGUAAACACCGAUAGGCCGGCCUUCCUCCGAUCUACACCUCCACUCUAUCUCUCUCAAUCUAGUAGAAACUAGAAGAUCUAUUUCUACUUACAUUGGUUGCUAAGCCUAAAAACAAAUAUUAUUUAGAGAAGAGGUUUUCCUUCGAGGGCACCCCUCAAUCUCUAUGAUAACUUCUUGUCUCCUCCAGGGGCCAGGGGGUCUCCUUAUAUAGUCCUCCUCCUCUAUGCGUUUUUGGGUCGGUAGGCGAUGUGGUAACAUUAUCCUUGAUCCAUUAGGUCGGUGGAAUAUCGUGUGCGAAGAGAGUCCCGAACGGAGUCUAGGACAGAGCGGGCGCCCUGGGCCUGGCCCCUUUCGGCCUCUCUGCUUUCUUCCCGUGGCUUCUGGAGUCUUCUAGAUGGUAGAAAAUUGCGCGGUGCGUUGAUAUCUCUAUGUAAUCCCGACAUGUGGGCCUUUCUUCCUUAUUUCAUGAUAACCCCCUGCAGAAAUAGACAAACAUCAAAACUCGUGGAAUUCUGUCAGAUAAAACCCUAAGUCUGGGUGUUGGUUGCAUUUGGAUCCUUUUCUUUAUUUAUUUGAUGAUUAUAUUUGGUACUUAAGGAUCGUCAACAAACUCCCCCAAGCUUACCUCUUGCUCGUCCCUGAGCAAGGAUGAACUCAAGAGUUUCUGCAGUGGUUUCAUGCCUUAAAAGUACACACGCAUUCAAGUAAGAUCUCAUCUCUGAGUUAGAAUAAACUGUUAAGACUUAAAACUUACUCAUUUUACCUUUCACCAUGGGGCUUGUAACCGUCACUUGUGUCUUGAGUAGUUAAAAGAUAGAACGGUCAAGUCAAGUGCCAUGUCUCUUAUUCUUGAUCAGCUAUAGCUCUGGAGUUUUUGCUCAGAGAUUCCUUAUAUGACUCUCUCAAAUCUCUCUUUUGUGGUAUUUCUGGAUCCUUACCAGGGCAGUAAUGGUAUAUGCCUUAUCUCAAAGUAUGUGGUAUUUUUGGUAUAAUGCAUAGUGAUAUUACCUUCUCUCUCACCCUACUCUAAUAAGGUUUUGAUAUCUGGAGCUCAUAGGUGGGAGACAGCUAAUACAUACUUACAAGACAUUUAUUGCAUAGUCAAACCAUGGAUCCAGAGAAACAAGUCAAUAAGUCAAAUCAAGAUGUGCAUGUGUGGCGAAUGAAUGGUGUAUGGUGAUGAUGGUGAUAAUAAUGGUGAAAGUCUAAUUCUACUUUUGCUCUUUUGAGGGGAUACAUACCUUUCUUGCACUUGAAGCUUUUUGGGGAGAAUGAGAUGCUCUAUAUUUUCUUUUUCUUUCCUCUCAGGUGGGUAUCUUGUACCCCUAAUUCUACUGUCGAACACUUGUCCAUUUUUACCUCUCGUCUCACUUUUUAUUUUCUUUCGAGGUUCCGGGCACUUGCCCCUUUUUAUUUCCUCGUAUUUUUCUCUUUUUUUUCUUUUCUUUUUUUUACUAGAGCACUCAUCUCCUGAAAUAAUGUAGCAAGUGGUAGUAAGCAAAAUAACUCGAGCAUUUAUUCCACAGGGAAAAACAGAAAUAUUUUUGGCCAUUCUUGCCUGGAUUAGGAGUAGAAUGUUUUUGGGUGAAUGUGGAGAUGGAAAUGAGUGGAUAUAUGUGGAUGGUACUUCCGGAGUAGAAGUAGCAUGUAUGAGUGAACGUGCAAGUGAAUCUUGAUUUUAACCACAUGACAAGCUCCUAAGGGUCUACACAGCUUGACCACACUCAAUGCUCAUAAGCAGUAAAAAGUAAAUGUGUGGCUCAAAGUCUAAUAAUCAUGUAUAUAUGGCUGUGGUAGCAUUUUAAACUCUCAUCAUACAGGAACUCAUCAUGUGAUAUUAAAAUUUUUUUUCAAAGAUAAAAUUCUCCAGAAUUCUAGCAUCUCUAGGAACAGAUAAACAGCAGCUCAACCUUCCCAUAUCAUAUCCGUUAACAACUUAGAUUUUAGAUCAAGUACUAUUCCCACAAGUUCAGGUUUAGAGCAAAUCUUUCAUAACAGUCAUGCCUAAACUUGAGAGAGAUUUUAAUUUUAAGAACUAAUCAUGGCAGAGCAACUAUUCAUCAUUUCCAUGUGAGAGCUUAUCAUGAGGAUUCAUAGCAAACUUUAUUUAUUUAUUUAUUUAGCAAACUAAGCAAAUAUAUAUAUAUAUAAGCACAAAUCUUUAUUUGGGUUUUCAUGAUUAUGCAUCUUUUAUUAUUUGAGUAAAGUAUAAACGCGAGUAGAAACACUUAGCUGGAUAAAUGGGGGUGCUCUCCCCAAGCUGGAUUUUGACGUAAUUUCUUCUGAUGUAGCUAGCACGUGGUGGAGGUGUAUUUGAAAGUCGGCAGCACCCUGAUAGUGAUUAGGAUGCCCUCCGUCUGCUAGUCUUCUUUGAUCCUUGAAUUCUGUGAAGCUCAAAUAGACAACAAAGCUUUGUGGAACUGGUUAAGUGUUAGCAUAAAUAUCUAGCCUUUAUCAUGUUGAGCCUCCUCAAUAAAUGUUACUUAUUUAGCGGGAUCAUGCACUUAUUAUUUUUAUAUUUUUAUUGUAAGAUGAAAACUUAUUUAUUUUAUUUUUAUGCCACCACAGUGAAUGUACUUAUGGGUUUUAUGCCAUGAGCGUACUCACGUGGGGCUUACUAUUUUUUUAACAUUUUUUUACUAGAUAGCAUAAACUUGAUUAACUAAGCAAACUAUAAUUGAAUAAUUGAAAGGAAAAGGAUAACUACCAGGUUUACCUCUUGGCAAGGCGUUCGGUGUUUUUAAGUCCUCCGAACGGGACUCCUUGUGUUUUCAGUCGUCCUGGGAUUCGCUAGGUGGCGUAGUCGGUGAUUCUAGCGGCGCCUCUUCUUCGUGUAUAACUAUCUUCUCUCUCCACACCUGACUCGGUGCUACAGUCUCCUCAGGACAGUUCUGUUCAAGCUAUAUGUUUUCAGACCUUAUCACUUCUCCUUUGUAGUCUACCCAUCCGUCCUUGAUGAUUUGCCUCCUCUGGUUGUGGUUGCGUCGCCUUCUUGUCCUAACCUGCUUAGAGUCUUCAACUAUAUAGUUAUGGUCAGUAAAAUAGUUGCGUACCUUCUCAGAGGGGAAGUACAUGUGGACUUCUCCGGUUCCAAUGUAGAUGAUUGCUUUGAUAGUGUUGAGGAACGGUCUCUUAUUCUUGGUGGGUGGAUCAUACUCGUCUUCUCCCAUGUCAAUGACCUAAAAAUCAUCUGGAGCUGAAUAUAUUGGUUGUAGGGGCAUGGUUCCAUGCAGGAGCUGAUAAGUGACUGCGGCCAUUAUGUUGUCGUCAGAUCCGGUGUCGUAGCGUGUCUUCUGAAAAGAGUAUCCAUUGAUUGCGUACUCGAUGCUUGGAACACCAGGGUCGUCCUUCUUUAUCAAGAAAGGUGACUUGAGUCGACGAUGUUGACCUCUUCCGACAAGGAUCCAAUGUUUUAAGUCUUCUGGACAAGACUUUCCACCAUCUUCAUCCUUUAGGUGCAUCAUUUGAUUAGGUGUGGACCUUGAUGUCUGCACCUCUUGAUACGGUGUCACCCAUGUUCUUCGAUUGCCCAGCAGUUCGAAGUGCGGUGUUGGCAAUAUCCUGCUCAGUGUGUUUGUGCUCAUAGAUCCAGGUCCUUCACUUGGUGGAGUCUAGGAGUUGCAAAACUCCUCCAUAUUUUGCUUGAAGUGUACCUGUUCAUAGAGCCAAGGCAGAGAUCAAGUGCAUGGGUCCUGUUGGUGGAAAACACCAACAGAACCAAAAGUGCAUUUGUUCUUCUCUAACCUUAAGCAUAGUGAGCAAGACAAAGUUGAUGGAUCAUGAGUGUAGCAUUUAAAACAUUUGUUAGAUCAUAUGGCUCAACCUAAUGGAAAGAUAAUCUAUCUAUAUUUAUGUUUUGUUUAUAUCUUCCAAAGAUUGAAUGUGCAACAUAUUAGCUUAUAUGUUUAGGAGCGUGGGAUCACGAAGGUAGUACUAAGAACAAAGAUUAAAGGACUAAACAUGUUGAAUUAAUUGGGUUGAUUAAUUUGGAGCUACAAAUCAUACAUGUUUGUCUCUUUAUUUUAUGUGAACGCUAGAACCAAGGAGAAGCUUAUAAAAGUGAUAGUCAAGUACCUUAAAAUGUUACCUUACUUGAAGAGUGACGGUACAGUAUCACCUUGUGGAAGCUUUCCUUUCUAAGCGGUUGUGCAUCGUGUUUGUGGCACCCUCCAUGAAUCAUCUCUUAUGAGCUACGUCUUUCUUGUGUAAAUUGUUAAACUUCAUAUGUCACUUUCUUCAUCUCCAAUGCGAGUUUAUCUCAGGACUUCCCUGGUUGAUAUUGAAAGUUUUCCUGCAGGGGUUAGUCCAACAAAAUAUCCCAUAUCUACUAUAUCAUACUAUCGGCUCAAAAAUCAACCUAGACACCAUGUCUAAUUUGAUUUAGAAGGGCAUUUUAACCUAAGCACCAUGCUUAAUUUAAAAUCCCUUGGAAGUAAGAUCAUCAUUCAUAAACUAAGCACCAUGCUUAAUUAAGAGAUAAAUGAAACUAUUCCAAACCUAGACAUAUACUAAAGCAAAUAAAGGUAGCAUGAGAGCAUUUAUAGAGAUCUACUUAAGUGGAGAUGAAGUAGUGUAAUUAGUAUUUAACAAAUUAAGCAUGUCUCAAAGGUAAGGACAACCAACAUAGCAACAUGGCAAAUGAUGUUUUUAUGUAAGGUAUUUCCCCAAGCUUGAAUUUUUGCGAAAUUCAAGUUUGGAUGAAUUUAAUUCAAUGUUGUGUGAUGGUUGGUUGGACAUACCUUGUACUUGUCAUUCAUCCCAUCUUCUUGCUCCAAUCCUGGAAAGGUUAGUGGCAAGAAUACCCGAAGGAAUAUUUCUACAAUUAUCUUAAUAUGCUCAAUACACAAGGCAAUGUUGCAAAUAAUUAAAAGUUCAUGUUAAGAUCUGAUAAGUGCUUGUUUUAGAACACUAAGCUUGUCCUUGGGAAACCAUCAAUUUAUGUCGGCGAAGUGGUUUCCCCUCCAACACCUACCUAUAUCAAGAUCAACUCAACGAGAUCUGCAAUAUUUAUUAUAGACAUAUGCAUCGACAACCGCCCUUUUAAAGUUUUUAUAAAUAGAAAGGAAGAGGGGGUUGGAGAUCUCAAAUGUGGUAAGGAUGGAGAGACCAUUUGAUUGGGGAGAUGUUUUAUAUGAGCAAGGACUUGGUAAGGUAUUUAUGAAAUAACUUCCAUGCUCACUGUUGUUUCUCUCAUUCUCAAUCUCCAAGGAUGAUUCUUCAUGAAUGCUUAAAAUUCCUCUAGGAUUGUCUCUCAAGUUUGUUUUAUCCAUCCAUUCAAUGGUGAUAGCACAUGGAUUUUUAAUGCCCUCUAGCCAUUGAUGUUGCUCUUCUCGAUCCUCCUUGUGGUCUUGGUGACUCUUAUGCAUGGGAUGUCUAGAGAGAUUCAUAGGAUCAUCGGGAGGUUCAAGAGAAAGAGCAUAGUAGAAAUUGUUAAGCUCAAGGAUGGGUUGGAUAGCCGAAUCAUGGGAUUGGAAUGUUAGGAAAUCGGCUAUUGAAACUUCCUUUUCUUGUCUGGGAGAUGAUUCCUUCUCUAUCUCUAGGAUAUUUUUAUGAAGACUAGUCCAAGAAGGAUGUCCACAAAUGAAGACAUACCUUCCUUUACUAAUAGAUAAAGAAAGAAAGACUCUACCAAAGGUUAUAUGAUUAAGACCAAUGUGAAAAUAUCGAGAAAAAACAUGGUCUUGUAGGGCUAGGUCUAAACCAGAAUUUAUAGAAAGAUUAAAAGAUUUCCUAGGUGUAGCUAAAAGUGCAUUAUAUUCUUGAUUAAAAGAUAGGACCUCGGCUAUAGAAAAGGGUUGGUUUUGACCUAUUGCAAUCAACUCCGGACACAGAUCAUAAUUAGGGGCAGGACGUGUUGACUCCCAUGGUCUAUGGCUAGUCUCCGAAGGUGCAAAGAAUUUAAUAAUAGGUAUGGAAUUUGAGUUAUCCAUAAAGAUAAAAAUAAAAAGAUAAAAGAAUAAAAGUAUAAAAGCAUAAUACAAGAUAAUAGCAAGACUCAAAGUUAUCUCAGCAAACCGUCUUUCUCCCCGGCAACGGCGCUAGAAAUGCUUGUUGAUAUUUGGUAACGCAAUAAGGAAAUGAUCCGCAAGCGCACGGAUAUCGGUGAGCAUUUCACCCGGGAAGUUAUCCAGAGUUAUCGUAUUUAUAUUUUUACCACUGGGAGAAAGGGUGCAUCUGACUAACCAAAUCUAUUGCUACUACCCCUUUAGGCUACAAAGAAUGUUUCUCGAUGUGAGCGAUGUAUAGAGAAGACUGCAACCGUAGUCUCGUUCUAACCUUGGUAAGGAUGAUCUAUUGUUCUAUUGGGGAGGCUCACGGAAUCUAGACAACACAAAGGAUGUUCGACCCGCACCUAUAAACCUACCCGUCCUGCUAACAAGAUAUGGGAUACAAAGGUAACUUGGAAAUGUCACGUUUCUCGCUACUACCACGGUCCAGCUAGUCAGGGGAUAUCUAUGAGUACCCUAGCCUAAACACCACAUUUACGCUAGCAAUGAUUACUCUAAUACUCAACCGGAAGAGGAUUAAAGUAAACUCAUAAACCAAAGAACAAUAAAACAAGAACUUACUAGAAUUAGAAGUCGAAUUACUGAAGAAUCUUAGAAGCAAGCCUCGGGUUAGGAGACUUGAUCCCGCAGGUAUAACUCGGAGUAAACACCGAUAGGCCGGCCUUCCUCCGAUCUACACCUCCACUCUAUCUCUCUCAAUCUAGUAGAAACUAGAAGAUCUAUUUCUACUUACAUUGGUUGCUAAGCCUAAAAAGAAAUAUUAUUUAGAGAAGAGGUUUUCCUUCGAGGGCACCCCUCAAUCUCUAUGAUAACUUCUUGUCUCCUCCAGGGGCCAGGGGGCAUCCUUAUAUAGUCCUCAUCCUCUAUGCGUUUUUGGGUCGGUAGGCGAUGUGGUACUACAUUAUCCUUGAUCCAUUAGGUCCAUGGAACAUCGUGUGCGAAGAGAGUCCCGAACGGAGUCCAGGACAAGGCGGACGCCCAGGGAAAGAGGGCGGGCGCCCUGGGCCUGGCCCCUUUCGGCCUCUGCUUUCUUCCCGUGGCUUCUGGAGUCUUCUAGAUGGUAGGAAAUUGCGCGGUGCGUUGAUAUCUCUAUGUAAUCCCGACAUAUGGGCCUUUCUUCCUUAUUUCCUGAUAACCCCCUGCAGAAAUAGACAAACACCAAAACUCGUAGAAUUCUGUCAGAUAAAACCCUAAGUCUGGGUGUUGGUUGCAUUUGGAUCCUUUUCUUUAUUUAUUUGAUGAUUAUAUUUGGUACUUAAGGACCGUCAACAUACCUCAGAGCAUGUAACACAUGUCUCUUUUCAUUUUCCCUUGAAUUACUAUAUAUUGAUAAUCUUGAUAUAACUAAUAUCUUCUUUUAAUUUAAAUUGAAGACUAAAUGGUUGAAGCAAAAACUCAUGCAACAUGAAUAACUCCAAGCAAUACAAGAGGCAAUAGCAGGAUUUCUUCAGGAACAAGUCAUAAAUCCAAGCGGUGAGUUCCACUAUAAUCCUAACGAGACGAUGAUUCCAAACAAUGAUGAUCAUUUGUAUGCCCUGUAGAUCAUUGGAUGAUGAAGUACAACUUGUAAUAGGUUUAGAGUACUAACUUUAGAGUACAACUUGUGCAGUAAUAGAUUUAGAGAACAACUUCUAUAUAUAUAUAUAUAUAUAUAUAUAUAUAUAUAUAUAUAUAUAUAUAUAUAUAUAUAUAUAUAUAUAUAUAUAAUAUUAUCUGCAUAUGACAGCAAAGAAUACAUAUUGGAAAACCUAUUAAAUGAAUAAAAAAACUAAAAACAUAAAUGAAAAGAAAAGAAAAAGAAAAAAACCAGGGACCCUUUAGUCCCGGCUGGUAUUACUAGCCGGGACUAAAGAGUGCUGCUGCGUGGCACCGCUAGUAGCACUCUUUAGUCCCGGCUGGUAAUACCAGCCGGGACUAACGGCAGGACUUUAGCCUC